GUCAGAGAGAAGUCACAAUGGAGAGUAUUUGCAGAAAGUUUAGCCAACUAGCAAAGUGCUAGAACCAUCCUCCCCACACAUGGUGUCUAUUCUAGAGUCUUUUCACGUCCUGACAGUCUCAAACCAUGUGUUCCAUUACACGUCCUCUGCCCUGUCAUCCGCAACAGGGAAACAGGGCAAAGAAUGAAGAAAGAGCCCCAGCCUUCGCCUUCGCUGACUGGGGUUCUUAUAUUCUCUUGCUGGCCAGUUAAUCCACCCCAGGGAUGUUCAUCACAUGAGCUGGGACACCAGGACUUAAGUGAGAAGUGGAAGUGUCCAGUUGAUUAUUGGGAGAAAAGCACAGUACCAGUUAAUAGCCACUUGGUCGGAUUAUGAGGAAGAAAGGGCUCAAAAAAGAACAAAAAAAUAACACCCGUUGUGCGAAGACUCCUCCAAUAUGGUUUUAUGUCUUUCUUUGUAUAAUUAUUUUACUGAGCAUUUAUUUUAUGUUUGUCUUGUCCCUUCCCUGGUAGUGUUAUAUACAUUUGCUGAAUAAUUCUUCAUUAAUUCUGCCUCAGAAUUGCCUUUGCAAUGUUAAAAUAUUUGAGAAGAUAUUUAAGAAAUAUGUUACUAUGAGGUGUGUUUAUUUAUUAUGUGGAAUUCUUUCUCUGGGAAUUGUUUUUUUGUCUUUUAGACAUUGUCUUACCUUUUAAUGUUUAUAAAGUCAACAAAGUAUGCACAAUUUCAACAACAUAAACUUUUUAAUAUUUUGUGUUUAAUAUGUAGAGAGGAAGAACAGAUCCAUUAAUGUACAGGCUUAAGAACAUAAUUGCAUAAUUUACACUUGCAUUGUGCAGGCUUAUUCUUCAACUAUGUGCUACUUUUCUACAUUAAAAUUAAAAUUUACCAAAGCUCUGAACACAGUGUAGUAUAUUGCUUGUGUACUGUAUUGAAAACUUUCAUGGACAUUCACCCCUCUUUUCAUUGAAUAGUAAAAAAGAAAAUAAAAU
Molecule: long non-coding RNA, 989 nt
Filed under: Lepisosteus oculatus (spotted gar)
Lineage: Eukaryota; Metazoa; Chordata; Actinopteri; Semionotiformes; Lepisosteidae
Description: lncRNA (ENSLOCG00000023029.1)
Source: RNAcentral